UUACUGCAUAUCCUUUUGGAAUAAAGCUUCUGAAACUGCUCCCUCAAAGAUCACCAAUGACCUGCAAAACUGCAAAUCAAACAGAUACACUAGCCGCCACCGCCCUUCUUCUGGUAACUGUCCCCUACCUUGGUAUCGGUAAUAACCCACUUCUCCUGGUUCACCAUCAUCACGGACCAGAUGGCAAAAGUUGGCAGAAUGAUUGGAUCAGAUACUUUGGUCUGAAAAGAUCACUUAAAUAUUAGACCACCUGAACAAAAGAAAAACUCUAGAAGGCAAAAGAAAGCAGUCGUUCAGAUUCUCUUCACACCCCUCUGACCCUGGAGAAAUCUCUCCUACGCAGCCACCAUCUGUGUGAGCCGCAUCUUUCAUCUAACUUCAUAAACAAAAAAAUGAGCAUCGGAAGACAGCCAUUUGGCACAGCUCUCUGGCUGCUGCUCUUACAAACAUUGAGAUUGCAAAUUUUAAACACAGUCUCUUGAUUUUCUAUCGAAAGCCCAGACUUGGGCACUUGAACCAUCAUAUCUUAAAAAAAAGGAAAAAGAAAAAGAAAGAAAAAACUUAAUACCCAUCCUGACCCUACCAAUAAAUAGAAUGCUGAACUCUUUGAGCC
Molecule: long non-coding RNA, 613 nt
Filed under: Monodelphis domestica (gray short-tailed opossum)
Lineage: Eukaryota; Metazoa; Chordata; Mammalia; Didelphimorphia; Didelphidae
Description: lncRNA (ENSMODG00000048875.1)
Source: RNAcentral